GUGAGUCUUAUUCUCCCAUGUUCUGUUCUAUUUCAGUCUCUGGCAGAGAUAUCCUCAAUUUCUACCAAUCACCCAUGAGAAAGACAAGAAUAGCUUUGGGCACAUCUCUCUGAAUUUCUGGUCUAACUAUCCAUCAUAUGGAGGAGAGACUAUCAAAAGUGAACUGGUAACUGAUGAUAUUUGCUGUGGAAGCCAUGAUUAAGUCUUCAGGAAGCAUCAAAG
RNAcentral lists this long non-coding RNA (222 nucleotides) under Monodelphis domestica (gray short-tailed opossum). Its description in RNAcentral is "lncRNA (ENSMODG00000047352.1)". The record is from RNAcentral. Lineage: Eukaryota; Metazoa; Chordata; Mammalia; Didelphimorphia; Didelphidae.